This 254-nucleotide ribosomal RNA is filed under the name uncultured bacterium. Its description in RNAcentral is "partial 16S ribosomal RNA". It matches the Rfam family "Bacterial small subunit ribosomal RNA", at positions 524 to 776 of the family's 1533-position model. The record is from RNAcentral.
CACGUAGGGUGCGAGCGUUGUCCGGAAUUAUUGGGCGUAAAGAGCUCGUAGGCGGUGUGCCGCGUCGGCCGUGAAAACCUGCAGCUUAACUGUGGGCUUGCGGUCGAUACGGGCAUCACUGGAGUUCGGCAGGGGAGACUGGAAUUCCUGGUGUAGCGGUGAAAUGCGCAGAUAUCAGGAGGAACACCGGUGGCGAAGGCGGGUCUCUGGGACGAUACUGACGCUGAGGAGCGAAAGCGUGGGGAGCGAACAGG